Long non-coding RNA from Pongo pygmaeus (Bornean orangutan), 293 nucleotides. RefSeq lists it as uncharacterized. The transcript is spliced from 2 exons. NCBI's taxonomy places the organism in Eukaryota, Metazoa, Chordata, Mammalia, Primates, Hominidae. The record is from RefSeq and is a predicted model, not a curated record.
CCGGGAGAGGACGCGGCCAGAGAUGGGCUCCUGCCCCUGAACCCCUGCUGGGGUGGAAGCAGGUGCACAAUACUGCUUUGAGUAUCUCCGUGUCUGUGGCUGAUAUCCAGAUGUAAGGCUUCUUCUGGGCAUCCCUGGGAAUGGGAGUGCAUAGACACGCUGGUCAAAUUACAGCACAGCCUCUACACCUUUCUGAAGAUGGAAAACUGUUGUCCAAAGUUUACUUGCCUAACAUGAUGUAACUAUCAUGCAAAAAUAAAAAUAAAAUUAAGAAUAAAAAUUUAAAAAUGAAA